RNAcentral lists this long non-coding RNA (243 nucleotides) under Elaeis guineensis (African oil palm). RNAcentral describes it as "long non-coding RNA (EGUI_LNC003303)". Lineage: Eukaryota; Viridiplantae; Streptophyta; Magnoliopsida; Arecales; Arecaceae. The record is from RNAcentral.
AGGGAGUCAAACUGCUCCUCUCUGCAAUAUACAUGAUAGAUGCAUGCAGAAUCUAAAAUCCACUGUUAGAAAGAAGUGGAUACCUCACCAGAUAUCUCCAAAGCAUCAUCCUUUGAGUCGCUACUGGCCAUCACUGCAGUGCCCUCAUCCGAUCCCUGAGUUGAGGACAAUCUCUGGCUAGAUGCUUCAACUCGUCACACCGAUAACAUCUGGUCCUGCUCAAGUCUCUCAUCCUGGACUCGG